Molecule: non-coding RNA, 523 nt
Organism: Kogia breviceps (pygmy sperm whale)
Lineage: Eukaryota; Metazoa; Chordata; Mammalia; Artiodactyla; Physeteridae
Source: RefSeq, a predicted model, not a curated record
CAUGCCUGUUCCUACAAGGAUCAUGGAAGGAAGCACCCUUCUGAUGUCCUCUGCAAUUCCUCCAGAUGACCUCCCUCCCUUAUUACUUCCAAGAUCUCUUAGGAUAUCACUUAUCGCGGUGGCACGUGUGUGAUUCCCUACAUUUUACAGUGUUUAUACCACCAGCAGACUCCCGAUGCAUCAGGCACUAAAGCAAACUCUCCCAAGGGUGACCUGCUUCAUACAGCUGCAGUUGGAUGAAGAUUAUGAAUGUUUUCUUUCAAGAUUAUCUCUAUGAAACUUUUCCCUCCCCUGUUUCUCUAUAAGAAUCUCUGAUACUUCAUCGUAUGUAUGGGGCUAUAUGUCUGAGAGAAAUAAUAUUUUCCAUUCAGUAGCAAAAUAUCCUUCAAAAGGAUACUUAAGAGUUUUAUAACACAUGCUCCCAAGAGAGAUGGUAAAAGUAGUUCCAUUUACAUCCUUGUCCACAAUGGUCUAACAAUUCAACCUGUUGGAUUGAGCACUCACACGUGUUCUCUCUCUCUCU